UCCGCUUCCUUGCUGCUGUGAGCUAUCUUCAUUGUUUUCAUCAUCAUCUUCCGCUGCUAAAUUCGACCUAAACUCGUAGACCAGGCCAUAGGUGCCCAGAUGACACACAAGCACAGCAGAAAUCCCUCCUGCCUUCUUUGUCCAAGGAAAGGUGUGCUGGUCUGGGAGCCAGGAGGAGACCUUCUGUUGACUGGAGCUGGUCUUGGCCGAACUGGCACACUUAUAGCCUGUUAUAUUAUGAAGCAUUAUAGGAUGACAGCAGCUGAAACCAUUGCUUGGAUUAGAAUAAAUAGACCCGGCUCAGUAAUUGGACCACAGCAGCACUUCCUUGUAGAGAAACAGACAGAACUUUGGACAGAAGGAGAUAUUUUUCGUGCAAAGUUAAAGGGAAAUCGCAAAAUUGCUGUUACAAAAAUCCUCACAGGAGUAGAUGAUAUUUCCAUUAAUGAUGCAAAAAACCGGAGAGCCAACAGAAAAGACUCUGAACUGUACAGUGAUGAAGAUGAUGCAAACUGUGUAACACAAGGUGAUAAGCUUCGUGCCCUGAAGAGUAAAAGGCAGGCAAAGGCUGCAACCACAGUUCCACUAACAUGGCUCCUAGCUAUGCUGGUCUCUACACUGUGUAGCAUUGUCAUCUGGUGGAUUGUUUGUGGCUCCCUUCUUCCCAGCCUGCUAUUCAGUCUAGAUGGUUUAAGAACAUAGUAACCUCAGGACCCCCUGAGAAAGAGCCACUGUAGUAAUUCUACAGUCCAGUGUUCAGAAAAGUAAAAUGUCUGAACCUAGCAUUUCUGGCAGUGCAGACAUUAAUAAAAGAACUACCAGGUCUGCUGCAAGAAAAAGCAGUUUAAAAAGUGGUCACUCCAUACCAAGGACCAGGACAGUGCUGCGUUAAG
Molecule: non-coding RNA, 893 nt
Organism: Chrysemys picta bellii (western painted turtle)
Lineage: Eukaryota; Metazoa; Chordata; Testudines; Emydidae
Source: RefSeq, a predicted model, not a curated record